GAUGAACGCUGGCGGCGUGCUUAACACAUGCAAGUCGAACGGAAAGGCCCUGCUUGCGGGGUACUCGAGUGGCGAAAGGGUGAGUAAAACGUGGGAGAUACGCCCUGUACUCUGGGAUAAGACUGGGAAAAAGGGUCGAAUACCGAAGAUGACAAUUGGUUGGAUGCGGUUGUGGGAAGCUUUUGUGGUCUGGGGUGAGGUCGCGGCCUAUCGGCUAGUUGGUGGGGUAAUGGCCUACCAAGGAGGCGACGGGUAGCCGGCCUGCGGGGGUGUACGGCCACAUUGGGACCGCGAUACGGCCCAGACUCCUACGGGGGGCAGCAGUGGGGAAUAUUGCACAAUGUGCGCAAGCCUCAUGCCGCGACGCCGCGUGGGGGAUGACUGGCUUCGGGUUGUAGACUCCUUUCGCGACCGACGAAGCCUUUUGGUGACGGUAGGUUGAGAAGAAGCACCGGCUAACUACGUG
Molecule: ribosomal RNA, 466 nt
Filed under: uncultured bacterium
Lineage: Bacteria
Description: partial 16S ribosomal RNA
Rfam family: Bacterial small subunit ribosomal RNA
Source: RNAcentral